GCUCUGCCCUCUCUCCAGGUGAACCCAGGGCUGCAGACAUUUGUGGGAUCUCAGGACGCUGUGUCCCCCCGGUCCAGGUGAACCCAGGGCUGCAGGCGUUCGUGGGGUCUCAGGACGCUGUGUCCCCCUGGUCCAGGUGAACCCAGGGCUGUAGAUGGAGGUGGGGUCUCAGGACGCUGUGUCCCCCCAGUCCAGGUGAACCCAGGGCUGCAGACGGAGGUGGGGUCUCAGGACGCUGUGUCCCCCGGUCCAGGUGAACCCAGGGCUGCAGACGGAGGUGGGGUCUCAGGACGCUGUGUCCCCCCGGUCCAGGUGAACCCAGGGCUGCAGACGGAGGUGGGGUCUCAGGACGCUGUGUCCCCCCGGUCCAGGUGAACCCAGGGCUGUAGAUGGAGGUGUGGUCUCAGGACGCUGUGUCCCCCCGGUCCAGGUGAACCCAGGGCUGCAGAUGGAGGUGGGGUCUCAGGACGCUGUGUCCCCCCAGUCCAGGUGAACCCAGGGCUGCAGACGGAGGUGGGGUCACAGGAUGCUGUGUCCCCCCGGUCCAGGUGAACCCAGGGCUGCAGACGGAGGUGGGGUCUCAGGACGCUGUGUCCCCCCGGUCCAGGUGAACCCAGGGCUGCAGACGGAGGUGGGGUCUCAGGACGCUGUGUCCCCCCGGUCCAGGUGAACCCAGGGCUGCAGACGGAGGUGGGGUCUCAGGACGCUGUGUCCCCCUGGUCCAGGUGAACCCAGGGCUGCAGACGGAGGUGGGGUCUCAGGACGCUGUGUCCCCCCAGUCCAGGUGAACCCAGGGCUGCAGACGGAGGUGGGGUCUCAGGACGCUGUGUCCCCCGGUCCAGGUGAACCCAGGGCUGCAGACGGAGGUGGGGUCUCAGGACGCUGUGUCCCCCCGGUCCAGGUGAACCCAGGGCUGCAGACGGAGGUGGGGUCUCAGGACGCUGUGUCCCCCCGGUCCAGGUGAACCCAGGGCUGCAGACGGAGGUGGGGUCUCAGGACGCUGUGUCCCCCCAGUCCAGGUGAACCCAGGGCUGCAGACGGAGGUGGGGUCACAGGAUGCUGUGUCCCCCCGGUCCAGGUGAACCCAGGGCUGCAGACGGAGGUGGGGUCUCAGGACGCUGUGUCCCCCCGGUCCAGGUGAACCCAGGGCUGCAGACGGAGGUGGGGUCUCAGGACGCUGUGUCCCCCUGGUCCAGGUGAACCCAGGGCUGCAGACGGAGGUGGGGUCUCAGGACGCUGUGUCCCCCCAGUCCAGGUGAACCCAGGGCUGCAGGCGUUCGUGGGGUCUCAGGACGCUGUGUCCCCCUGGUCCAGGUGAACCCAGGGCUGUAGAUGGAGGUGCGGUCGGUCACAGGAUGCUGUGUCCCCCCCUCUCAGCGCCCCCUUGUGUGUUCCCUGCAGGAAGCUCCUUUGCAGCUGACCGUGCCAGUGAGGGAGGUGGGUGCCAGGUGAGCUGAGGGAGACUGGUACGCAGGGGCGUCCUCCUGGGAGUGGGCUCACUGAGGCUCACUCAGUGGUGGCCCGUGAGUGUCCACAGAGCAGUGCCUUGGAGCGCACACCUGGGCCCCGGAUGUGCUGAGUCCUGCUCUUUGUCCACGGGGAGGGAGCUGCGUCCCCAGAACCCAGGCUGUGUCACAGUUUGCAGAUUGGCACACAGUGGACACGUCACCGCGCCGUGGACUUCCCCUUCUCUCAGCCCCCAUCUUGUGCUCUGCGCUCAGUGCACUUUGUCCUGGAAAGUCGGUGGUGGUGGUGCCUGCUGAUGGGCAGUCGGGUUCCUAGGCGGGGCCUAGCCUCUGGCAGGGGCUGUGGCGCAGGCCAGAGAGGAUGGAUAGGGUGUCUGUGUUUAAGCCUCGUGCUGGGAGAUGGAGGGCGGAGUGCUGACCCUUAGGAAUGCUUGUGGGAGGCGUGUGCCCAGAGCAGUGUCCUGGUGUAUUUGGGAUUUCAGGCCCAGAACGCAGGAAGGGGGUGGUGUGCAGGGAGCAGAGGCUGUGCAGAGUGAGAGGCACGACUCCGGAUCUUAGAGCAUGGGAUGCUGGGGGGAGGUGGACGUGUGGGCUUCCAGGCCAGGGGCCAGGGAGGGGUCUCAGGAGAGCGUGGUGGAGAUCCAGGGGAGCAGCUGGCUGGAGGGCGCCCGGCAGGCACAGGGGCCGGAGGUGGGGCCUCCAGGGGUUUUGCACGUCACAGGCUGCAGCCGCCAGAGGCCAGCCUGUGGACACGCACAUGUGCCGGCCUCCGCUCACACAGGUGCCCGUGCUUGCGGGACACGGGCAGACGUGAGCUGCAGCCCCGCGCUGGCUCUCUGACCCGCUGCUCUUGGGCCCAGUUUGAUGUGCAGAGAGAAUUGAGGCUUUGAGUGGCUGGCUGGCAUGAUGUCAUUUCUCGCUUCAAAGAAGAAAUAAUCAGGGCCCACAGCAGGAUCCUUUUCCUUUGAAUUUGCCACAGAUGUCCUUGACAGAAUUAGAAAGGCAGAGAGCCUCCGUCAGUUUGGACAGGGCAGCAAAAGUACUUCCACGCGGCGCUCACAGGCCAGACGGUGAUGCAGCGUCUUUGAAAACCGCCCAGUCAUGAGACGUGCACUGCUGUGGUCUGGGAGGCGGGAGGGGAGCGUCAGGAGGGCAGCGGAGGUUAGCACAGGAAGUUAAUCCUGCUCAGAACCCCGCGGCCGGGGCUGGCCCCAGCCUCUCAGAGCUUGUAUAAUUCAUGGAGUCUUUGACCGAGCAGCCUUGAAGGGAGCCUUUGUUGUAUCCAUGGAGGAGACAGGCGGCUGUGGCCGCGCGGGCCUGCGGUGUGAGCCCCUCUCGCUGAGUCUCGGCCGUGUCGGGCGCCCCGCAGUCCUGUGCCGGGUCACACGUGGUCUCCUUGAGCGCUGGCGCUCCAGGAUCUAAUUCCGGGUCAUGGCUGGCGUUUGCUUCUUGCUGGGGCCCACUUUUGCCCAGAAAGGACACAUGCUCCCUGCAGGCAGACACAGAGGUGGCUGACAGCAAGGUUACAGUGACGCCAGGCCAGCGUGGCUGCCGCACCCGUGAGCCAUGGGAAGCUACAGGUCUUCAGGGCCUGUUGAUGGCUUAUUAAUUAAUUGGCUAUGAAAACCAACCCUUUGGCAUUGAAAGGGGCCUACGAACACAGCUCUGGAAAAUACCUUUCAACUUUAAAGACGCACCGAGAUCUGGGUGGCUGUGGGCUGUGACGGUUUGUUCACGUGUCACUUUCGUGGGCCACCAGGCCCAGCUGUGUGGUCGCACCUUACCUGCGUGUUUCUGGAUGAGAUUGACAUUUAAGCUGGAGACUUUGUAUAGAGCAGGUAUCCCUCCAUGGUGUAUGGGAGCCUCAUCCAGCCGGUUGAAGGCCUUGGUAGGCCAGACUGACCCCCGAGCAAGGAGUUCUGCCAGCAGGCGGCCUGACGCACAAUUGGCGUCCAACUGCGUCCUCACCUGCACCGUCGCACGCGCCAGGUGCAUAAACCAGCCGACAGAUCCGCCAGUGGUUCUCUGCCUCUAUCUCUCUCUCUCUCUCACACACACACACACACAUACACACUCACACACUCACACACACACACACACACUCACACACUGCUCCCUAUUGGUUCUGUUUCUCUGGAGAACCCUGACUCUCAACCAAAGAAUGAAUAUCCAUUAGGAAUUUUUUUAAAAUUAUUUUUGGGGCUGGCGUUGUGGCACGCAGUGGGUUAACCGACGCAAGGUUUGAA
Molecule: non-coding RNA, 3712 nt
Organism: Oryctolagus cuniculus (rabbit)
Lineage: Eukaryota; Metazoa; Chordata; Mammalia; Lagomorpha; Leporidae
Source: RefSeq, a predicted model, not a curated record